CAUUUGUUCUCUAAAUAAGGACUUGUAUGAAUGGCCACACGAGGGUUUUACUGUCUCUUACUUCCAAUCAGUGAAAUUGACCUCCCCGUGAAGAGGCGGGGAUAAAUCAACAAGACGAGAAGACCCUAUGGAGCUUUAACUAAGUAACUCAAGGAAAAUAAAUUCAACCACCAAGGGAUAACAACACUCCUUAUGAGUUAACAGUUUCGGUUGGGGUGACCUCGGAGAACAGAAAAUCCUCCGAGCGAUUUUAAAGACUAGACUAACAAGUCAAACCAAACCAUCGCUUAUUGAUCCAAAAACUUGAUCAACGGAACAAGUUACCCUAGGGAUAACAGCGCAAUCCUAUUCAAGAGUCCAUAUCGACAAUAGGGUUUACGACCUCGAUGUUGGAUCAGGACACCCCGAUGGUGCAACCGCUAUCAAAGGUUCGUUUGUUCAACGAUUAAAGUCCU
This 455-nucleotide ribosomal RNA is filed under the name Ovis aries musimon (mouflon). RNAcentral describes it as "partial large subunit ribosomal RNA". It matches the Rfam family "Bacterial large subunit ribosomal RNA", at positions 1966 to 2597 of the family's 2925-position model. RNAcentral also lists the same sequence under 1 other name. The record is from RNAcentral. Lineage: Eukaryota; Metazoa; Chordata; Mammalia; Artiodactyla; Bovidae.